This 486-nucleotide ribosomal RNA is filed under the name uncultured bacterium. RNAcentral's name for it is "partial 16S ribosomal RNA". It matches the Rfam family "Bacterial small subunit ribosomal RNA", at positions 30 to 507 of the family's 1533-position model. The record is from RNAcentral.
AUUGAACGCUGGCGAAAUGCUUUACACAUGCAAGUCGAACGGCAGCACGGGAGCUUGCUCCUGGUGGCGAGUGGCGAACGGGUGAGUAACAUAUCGGAACGUACCCAGUCGUGGGGGAUAACUAUCCGAAAGGAUAGCUAAUACCGCAUACGUCCUGAGGGAGAAAGCGGGGGAUCGCAAGACCUCGCGCGAUUGGAGCGGCCGAUAUCGGAUUAGCUAGUUGGUGGGGUAAAGGCUCACCAAGGCGACGAUCCGUAGCGGGUCUGAGAGGACGACCCGCCACACUGGAACUGAGACACGGUCCAGACUCCUACGGGAGGCAGCAGUGGGGAAUUUUGGACAAUGGGGGCAACCCUGAUCCAGCCAUUCCGCGUGAGUGAAGAAGGCCUUCGGGUUGUAAAGCUCUUUCAGCAGGAACGAAACGGUCGGCUUUAAUAAAGUCGGCUAAUGACGGUACCUGCAGAAGAAGCACCGGCUAACUACGUG